This 492-nucleotide ribosomal RNA is filed under the name uncultured bacterium. RNAcentral describes it as "partial 16S ribosomal RNA". It matches the Rfam family "Bacterial small subunit ribosomal RNA", at positions 29 to 507 of the family's 1533-position model. The record is from RNAcentral.
AGUGAACGCUGGCGGUAGGCCUAACACAUGCAAGUCGAACGGCAGCACAGUAAGCGCUUGCUCUUACGGGUGGCGAGUGGCGGACGGGUGAGGAAUACAUCGGAAUCUACUUUUUCGUGGGGGAUAACGUAGGGAAACUUACGCUAAUACCGCAUACGACCUACGGGUGAAAGCAGGGGAUCUUCGGACCUUGCGCGAUUGAAUGAGCCGAUGUCGGAUUAGCUAGUUGGCGGGGUAAAGGCCCACCAAGGCGACGAUCCGUAGCUGGUCUGAGAGGAUGAUCAGCCACACUGGAACUGAGACACGGUCCAGACUCCUACGGGAGGCAGCAGUGGGGAAUAUUGGACAAUGGGCGCAAGCCUGAUCCAGCCAUACCGCGUGGGUGAAGAAGGCCUUCGGGUUGUAAAGCCCUUUUGUUGGGAAAGAAAAGCAGCAGGUUAAUACCCCGAUGUUCUGACGGUACCCAAAGAAUAAGCACCGGCUAACUUCGUG